AAGGAAGGAAGGAAGGAAGGAAGGAAAAGCAAGUUCUCACGCCCCCUGCCCCGACCUCCUGACAGGCCCCUCUGGGGCUUCUCGUGCGCCUCAGGUUUGAGAACCACUGGUCUAGAUGACGGGCUUUCUCUCGCAUGAGCCCAGAGUUCUGAAAACCACGUCUCUGUCUCUGCUCUCAGUUCACCCACUUGCCUAAGACCAUUCUAGGUGCAGAGAAGAAACACCCACUGACUGUCUCCAAAGGCUGGAACACCAGGGAGGAGAGGAGAGGGGAGGGGAGGGUUGCUCAUAGAAACGGAGAUGCGGCUUGUGGUCCCGGAGGUGGAGAGCGGGGAGGGAGUUGGCUGGAGGUGGUCAGAAGAUACCAACUUCUCGGGCGUUCCCUCCGUGGCUCAGCGGUGAACGAACCCAGCUAGGAUCCACGAGGAUGCGAGUUCGAUCCCUGGCCUUGCUCAGUGGGUGAAGGGUCCAGCGUGGCCGUGAGCUCUGGUGUAGGUUGCAAAUACAGCUCGGCUCCUGCGUUGCUGUGGCUGUGGCGCAGGCUGGCAGCUGUAGGUUCGAUUAAACCACUAGCCUGGGAACCUCCAUGUGCUGCAGGUGCAGCCCUAAAAUAGCAAAAAAAAAAAAAAAAGAAAGAGAAACCAACUUCCAAUUAUAAGAUAAGUAAGUACUAGGGCUGUCACAUGUAACACGGUGAGUAGAAUUAUCACUGCCGUGCGUUGUGGAUGUGAGAGUUGAGAGUAAAUCCUGCGUUCUCAUCGCAAGGAAAAUGUCUUUUUUUCUUGGCGUUCCCUGGUGCCCUAGCAGCUAAGGAUUUGGUGGUGUCACUGCUGGGGUGCAUAUUCGAUCCCCACCCUUGGAACUUCUGCAGGUUGCGGGCAGGGCAAAAUCCUUCUUUUUCUUUUAUUUUGUAUCUCGGUGAAAUGGAGGGUGUUCCCCGAACUUCCUGCGAUGAUCCCGGCGGGACGUAGCUUGUUUUUUGUUCUUGGAAGUCUCGCAGCGCCUCACCCAGCACGGAGUCUGGUGCACAGCAGAUCCUGUUUGUGGGGUGCAAAUGUGGGGCUCCCACUCCUGUUCCUCCGACUGUUUAAGGCAGCGGCCGUGGUGGUGGAUACCCGUCAUGGAGCCUGGCACACAGUGUGUCAUUGGCCUCAGGGAAGAGCCCGGGACAGAGAGAAUCUGGGGCAGGGUCCUGGCAAGACAGCCCGCAUGUACAUCCCUUCCGGGGCCUCCCAUGUCCCGUACGGGUUGCCACGAGGACCAUGGGAACCGAGGAAGGGUAAGCAUCCGGGUAAGGGUAAGCAUCCGGGUCUGAUGUGUUUGCAGAAUGAGGGAGGGAGGCGAUGGGCACAACGGCGGAUAAGGGGGACCCAGAGGCAGACUCUG
RNAcentral lists this long non-coding RNA (1386 nucleotides) under Sus scrofa (pig). RNAcentral describes it as "lncRNA (ENSSSCG00030053160.1)". Lineage: Eukaryota; Metazoa; Chordata; Mammalia; Artiodactyla; Suidae. The record is from RNAcentral.